RNAcentral lists this ribosomal RNA (1182 nucleotides) under uncultured marine bacterium. RNAcentral describes it as "bacterial SSU rRNA". It matches the Rfam family "Bacterial small subunit ribosomal RNA", at positions 269 to 1504 of the family's 1533-position model. The record is from RNAcentral.
UCAUGCGAUGAAGAGUGAUGAUAGUCCACGGCCAUACUGGAUCAGAAGCGGACAUAUUCUCUAACGGAAGACAGCAGUGGAUCUUCGCCACAUUGGAGAAUCUUCUGAUGCCAGCGAUGCGCUUGAGUGAGAGGCCUUGGGUUGUAAGCUCUUUCGUCGGGGAAGAAAAAUGACUGUACCGAAUUAAGAAGUCGCUAACUUCGUGCCAGCAGCGCGUAAUACGAAGGACCUAGCGUAGUCGAAUUACUGGGCUUAAAGAGUUCGUAGUGGUGAAAAAGUUAGUGGUGAAAUCCCAGAAGCUACUCUGGAACUGCCAUUAAAACUUUUCAGCUAGAGUAUGAUAGAGGAAAGCAGAAUUUCUAGUGUAGAGGUGAAAUUCGUAGAUAUUAGAAAGAAUACCAAUUGCGAAGGCAGCUUUCUGGAUCAUUACUGACACUGAGGAACGAAAGCAUGGGUAGCGAGGAGGAUUAGAUACCCUCGUAGUCCAUGCCGUAAACGAUGUGUGUUAGACGUUGGAAAUUUAUUUUCAGUGUCGCAGCGAAAGCGAUAAACACACCGCCUGGGGAGUACGACCGCAAGGUUAAAACUCAAAUGAAUUGACGGGGACCCGCACAAGUAGUGGAGCAUGUGGUUUAAUUCGAAGAUACGCGCAGAACCUUACCAACACUUGACAUGUUCGUCGCGACUCUAAGAGAUUAGAGUUUUCGGUUCGGCCGGACGAAACACAGGUGCUGCAUGGCUGUCGUCAGCUCGUGUCGUGAGAUGUUGGGUUAAGUCCCGCAACGAGCGCAACCCUCACUUUUAGUUGCCAUCAUUAAGUUGGGCACUCUGAAAGAACUGCCAGUGAUAAGCUGGAGGAAGGUGGGGAUGACGUCAAGUCCUCAUGGCCCUUACGUGUUGGGCUACACACGUGCUACAAUGGUAUCUACAACAGGAAGCAAGACUGCGAGGUCAAGCAAAUCCUUAAAAGAUACCUCAGUUCGGAUUGCACUCUGCAACUCGAGUGCAUGAAGCUGGAAUUACUAGUAAUCGUGGAUCAGCGUGCCACGGUGAAUGCGUUCCCGGGUCUUGUACACACCGCCCGUCACACCAUGGGAGUUGGUUCUACCUUAAGGCAAGGUUUCAAACCCUUGACCACGGUAUAGUCAGCGACUGGGGUGAAGUCGUAACAAGGUAACCGUA